This 497-nucleotide ribosomal RNA is filed under the name uncultured bacterium. RNAcentral describes it as "partial 16S ribosomal RNA". It matches the Rfam family "Bacterial small subunit ribosomal RNA", at positions 28 to 507 of the family's 1533-position model. The record is from RNAcentral.
GAUGAACGCUGGCGGCGUGCCUAAUACAUGCAAGUCGAGCGAACGGACGAGAAGCUUGCUUCUCUGAUGUUAGCGGCGGACGGGUGAGUAACACGUGGAUAACCUACCUAUAAGACUGGGAUAACUUCAGGAAACCGGAGCUAAUACCGGAUGAUAUUUUGAACCGCAUGGUUCAAAAGUGAAAGACGGUCUUGCUGUCACUUAUAGAUGGAUCCGCGCUGCAUUAGCUAGUUGGUAAGGUAACGGCUUGCCAAGGCAACGAUGCAUAGCCGACCUGAGAGGGUGAUCGGCCACACUGGAACUGAGACACGGUCCAGACUCCUACGGGAGGCAGCAGUAGGGAAUCUUCCGCAAUGGGCGAAAGCCUGACGGAGCAACGCCGCGUGAGUGAUGAAGGUCUUCGGAUCGUAAAACUCUGUUAUUAGGGAAGAACAUAUGUGUAAGUAACUGUGCACAUCUUGACGGUACCUAAUCAGAAAGCCACGGCUAACUACGUG